GGAGGUUCUCAGGUGACACACUCCGGAAUCGGGCUCUCCCUCUCUGGUUCCAGGUUUGUCACUCGAGAACUGCA
Molecule: non-coding RNA, 74 nt
Organism: Myotis brandtii (Brandt's bat)
Lineage: Eukaryota; Metazoa; Chordata; Mammalia; Chiroptera; Vespertilionidae
Source: Rfam